CGAGGGAGAAGCUGCUGGUGUCCUCACAGAGGUAGACGGACAGGUGCUUCCUCUGCUCCUCCACAGAUGACAGCAGCACUUGCAGCUGCUCGACAGCCUGCAGGCUCUCCUGGUAACACCACAGAAGAACACAAGAUUUGCUGCUGAACCACUAGGUGAUGCUGAGUCACACCCGCCUGAAUCUGCAGGUGAGCAUACACACUGUAUAAAAAUGGACACAGCUAGCGUAACACCAGCGUCAACGUUAACAUUUUGUUUGGUGUUAUGUUGCUUUUUGUUCCAGGAAAUGACUACGUUUGGAUAGUCAUUUCUGUGGAUAGUAGCUAGCUUAGUUAUCAGUGUUUUGUCACACAGAUACCUGCUAAUCAGUGUCAUUUAAAAAAAAAAAAAAAAAACACUCCUUAGAUGAACUGUUAGUGCAAUCAACCUCACAGCUGUGAUAUUACUGCUUAGAUAACUUCAUAAAAACUUCAUCAGACUCCAGUUAGCUGAGGUGAAGUCCAGCAGUCGCUAGCAGCCCAGUCUACAGCAGAGACAUGGACAUGACUUAUUUAUUUUGCAUGAAAGGACAACAAGCAUGAUGGUGAAGUGGAACUGGCAUCCAGGACAUAAACAGCUGCAUUAUACUGCUAACAUCUGCACAGACAGCAUGUUAAUGCUAAGCUAGCCAAGAACUUCAGGCCCUUUCACAUAGGACGUGGCACACUGACCGCUAGCUUGUUCUCCACCUGUCCCACUUAGCGUAAAGGACCCAAACUUUGUGUUGUGCUGGCCGCUGUGCUCUGCUUGGAUGUCUUUUUUUUCUUUGUUGCCACUCUACGAGUCUUUUUUAAACCUACAUCUCUCUGCCUUUGUGUCCUUCACAAGAGUUUGUGUUGAAUUAUGUUCAAAUGUUUAA
Long non-coding RNA from Oreochromis niloticus (Nile tilapia), 898 nucleotides. RefSeq lists it as uncharacterized. NCBI's taxonomy places the organism in Eukaryota, Metazoa, Chordata, Actinopteri, Cichliformes, Cichlidae. The transcript has 2 exons. The record is from RefSeq and is a predicted model, not a curated record.